This 429-nucleotide ribosomal RNA is filed under the name Pseudomonadota bacterium. RNAcentral describes it as "Proteobacteria bacterium partial 16S ribosomal RNA". It matches the Rfam family "Bacterial small subunit ribosomal RNA", at positions 355 to 776 of the family's 1533-position model. Lineage: Bacteria; Pseudomonadati; Pseudomonadota. The record is from RNAcentral.
UGGGGAAUCUUGGACAAUGGGCGAAAGCCUGAUCCAGCCAUGCCGCGUGUGUGAAGAAGGUCUUCGGAUUGUAAAGCACUUUAAGUUGGGAGGAAGGGCAGUAAGCGAAUACCUUGCUGUUUUGACGUUACCGACAGAAUAAGCACCGGCUAACUCUGUACCAGCAGCCGCGGUAAUACAGAGGGUGCAAGCGUUAAUCGGAAUUACUGGGCGUAAAGCGCGCGUAGGUGGUUCGUUAAGUUGAAUGUGAAAGCCCCGGGCUCAACCUGGAAACUGCAUCCAAAACUGGCGAGCUAGAGUAGGGCAGAGGGUGGUGGAAUUUCCUGUGUAGCGGUGAAAUGCGUAGAUAUAGGAAGGAACACCAGUGGCGAAGGCGACCACCUAGGCACAUACUGACACUGAGGUGCGAAAGCGUGGGGAGCAAACAGG